Molecule: ribosomal RNA, 840 nt
Filed under: Triticum aestivum (bread wheat)
Lineage: Eukaryota; Viridiplantae; Streptophyta; Magnoliopsida; Poales; Poaceae
Description: partial small subunit ribosomal RNA
Source: RNAcentral
AUGCACUGUGGCUAUUGCAAAGGAGCUGGUCAUAACAGAAGUGGUUGCUCAAAGUUGAAAGCUGUUGUACUAAGAGAAGAGGAAGAUCAACAUGAGCAGACUGGGGACUUUGGAAGUGAUGCACAUGAGCAUGGCAGAACAGAUAAUGUUGAAAGUGAUCAACCUGAUCAUGGCAGAACAGAAAAUGUUGCAACUCAGCAGCUAGAAUCACAUAGUAGGAGGGGAAGGAAGAGAAAGCCCACUGACAACAUGAGGGAACAAAUAGAGCAAAUGAGGGAGCAAGCUAAGAAAAAAAAGUCAAAGAUGGUUAUUGAUGAAAAUGGAGAUGUUGACUUCCCUAUAAUUCUAACUCACAUUCAGAACAAAACUUUGAGGCCAGAUCUUGACCCAACACAGGUUAAAGACAGCAUGAUACAUAUUUUAUCACAUGAGGGAACAGCACAAGGAAUUCCUGUUACUAGGAUACACCAAAUUCCUGAGGAAAGUGCAUUUGUAGUUGAGCACAGGGCCAACAUAGCAGCUAGAGGAAGAGGAGUUAGAGGAGCUGCUGCUUCUGCACAAACACCAGGCAGAGGAAGAGGAGCUGGAAGAGGUGCUGGUUCUGAACAAGCACAAGGCAGAGGAAGAGGAGCUGGAAGAGCUAGUGCUUCUGCACAAGCACCAGUCAGAGGAAGAGGAGCUGGAAGAGGUACUGCUUCUGCACAAACACAAGUCAGAGUGAGAGGAACAAGAGGAAGAAGAGGAACAAGAAACAAGAAAACAAAAACAAAGGGACUGAAGUGGCUGCUACUUGGAGAAGGGUCUAGCAGAACCAGACAUGUUCCAGCAGAUGAAGAAUGA